UACGUAGGUAGCAAGCGUUGUUCGGAGUUACUGGGCGUAAAGGGUGCGUAGGCGGCUCUGUAAGUAUGGUGUGAAAUCUCCCGGCUUAACUGGGAGGGUGCGCUAUAGACUGCGGGGCUCGAGUGUGGGAGAGGAAAGUGGAAUUCCUGGUGUAGCGGUGAAAUGCGUAGAUAUCAGGAGGAACACCGGUGGUGUAAACGGCUUUCUGGACCAUAACUGACGCUGAGGCACGAAAGCGUGGGUAGCAAACAGG
This 253-nucleotide ribosomal RNA is filed under the name uncultured bacterium. Its description in RNAcentral is "partial 16S ribosomal RNA". It matches the Rfam family "Bacterial small subunit ribosomal RNA", at positions 524 to 776 of the family's 1533-position model. The record is from RNAcentral.